AAAUCUCACUGGCAGCAGAGAUAUACCAUAAUAAAGAAGGUAUUUCCCAGGGCAAGGCUCCAAGACUCAUCCAUCACCCGAGGCAUGUACUGACCCCUACAAUUCCUGCAAAUUUAGGAAAGUGGAUUGUAUAACUUAUGAUAAUUGGAGCUUAUGUUCGCAUGAGUGCUUC
This is a small nuclear RNA of Microtus oregoni (creeping vole), 172 nucleotides long. RefSeq annotates it as U1 spliceosomal RNA. The record is from RefSeq and is a predicted model, not a curated record. Lineage: Eukaryota; Metazoa; Chordata; Mammalia; Rodentia; Cricetidae. The transcript has a single exon.